RNAcentral lists this non-coding RNA (21 nucleotides) under Caenorhabditis elegans. The record is from RNAcentral. Lineage: Eukaryota; Metazoa; Nematoda; Chromadorea; Rhabditida; Rhabditidae.
UGAUAAAUUUUCAAGACUAAC